This is a long non-coding RNA of Phycodurus eques (leafy seadragon), 557 nucleotides long. RefSeq lists it as uncharacterized. The record is from RefSeq and is a predicted model, not a curated record. NCBI's taxonomy places the organism in Eukaryota, Metazoa, Chordata, Actinopteri, Syngnathiformes, Syngnathidae. The transcript is spliced from 3 exons.
CUGAUAAUUGGGCCCGCCAUCUUCCUUCAAUAUUCCUGUCCCUCAGUUGAAAAACUUGACAUCCUUGAUCUAGAUUGAUACUCCAGACGUUACGACAGAUAAGUGUAUCUCAUCUCACGUUCCGAAAUGGUGCUACGGUUCUGUUUCCGCAUCUCCAGAGGUCUGCCCCCACUUGGACGACAUUAACUGGGUGUCAGCAUUACGCUGGGCUGCUUGUGCCGAGGUGGCCUAAAGCCAGACUGUGGAGCUGUGUCCUGGAAUUUGACGACAGGAAACAAAACUAUCGACAGUAUCGUGUGUGUGUCCCAUGAAAUGCAAGGAGCCAAGAUGGAAGGGCGCAAGGUUGAGGUCGCACCCCACAAACCGAGCGAGCAUCAUCAUUAAAAGUGUUUGCGGCAGGGUCAAAGGUUAAAGGCAGGCAAGUGGUGACCUCACAGAAGAAGGCCACAGUGACAUCUGACCCUUAACCGGGUGUGCUGCUCAACCCCGGAGGAUACAACUCAACAAUGGCCAGGCACGUGCCUUGGCCUGGUCACCAUGGUAACAAAGGACCUUUU